Molecule: ribosomal RNA, 253 nt
Filed under: uncultured bacterium
Lineage: Bacteria
Description: partial 16S ribosomal RNA
Rfam family: Bacterial small subunit ribosomal RNA
Source: RNAcentral
UACGUAGGGUGCGAGCGUUAAUCGGAAUUACUGGGCGUAAAGCGUGCGCAGGCGGUUUUGUAAGCCCGAUGUGAAAGCCCCGGGCUCAACCUGGGAAUGGCAUUUGGGACUGCAAGGCUUGAGUGCGGCAGAGGAGACUGGAAUUCCUGGUGUAGCAGUGAAAUGCGUAGAUAUCAGGAGGAGUACCGAUGGCGAAGGCAGGUCUCUGGGCUGACACUGACGCUCAUGCACGAAAGCGUGGGGAGCAAACAGG